UCAGGUGGUUAUAGCACGAGGGUUCCACCUCUUCCCAUUCCGAACAGAGAAGUUAAGCCUCGUCACGCCGAUGGUACUGCGUAACAGUGGGAGAGUAGGUAGC
Molecule: ribosomal RNA, 103 nt
Filed under: Bacteroides thetaiotaomicron
Lineage: Bacteria; Pseudomonadati; Bacteroidota; Bacteroidia; Bacteroidales; Bacteroidaceae
Also listed under: 2 other names
Source: RNAcentral